UCCGGCUAGACUUGCGUGGCCUCUCCUGCCCUGCCUCGUGGCCAGCGCCCCUGGGAGCAGAGCCAGCCUCAGGGAAUGUCACCCCACGCUGGGAUGAGUCACCCCAGCGCCCCUGGCCUUCAGCCAAAGCAGAUCCCCCCCCCUUACCCCUCCUUGGCACUGGAUCAAGGCUUCAUAAUCCCAGAAAUAUAGGGCUACAAGCGACCUCAAAAGGCUAUCCAGCCUAUCUCCCUGUGCUGAGGCAGUACACAAGAUACCUGGAAGGUCCCACAGAGAUGUCCUGGAGAAAUCUCCAGUGAAGGGAAUUCUACCUCUUCUCCAGGGCUGUCUGGAGAUCAGCACAAGCUCCGGAUAUCAUCAGUUGGAGCAACCGCAAAGUUGUUCAGCCUUAUGCACAAGUUCGGGGAACCAGAGACCAGCUAUUGAACAGGGUUGCUGUAGCCUCACUCCUCCUUUAUUCUAAAGGUUUGGGUCAGGGUCAGUGGAGGAACAUUUCAGCAACUCUGUAUCAUCGGAGCAAUCUUUUUAUGCGCAUGACAGUCCUUGAACCCAUUUCUGUGGCCAAGGUGGAGUGAAGUAGAUAUAAUACCAUAGGCAGUCAGUCCCAGUGUGAUUUGUGAGCUUGGAAGCAUUCUUUGUAGACCCUGACUUCUGUUUCACAUUUGUUAUCUUUUCCUCAGUUUGGGGCAUUUCACCUUGGAUGCCCUUUUGAGACACAUUUGUACCUCAACUUCUUCCACCUGUAAAAUUAAAUAAUAAAUACUUCUCUACCUCACAGGGAAGCAGAGGCUUUGAAGUUUAAUUCAUGCUUGUAAAAUUUGAGAUCUAAGGAAAGGGGUUGAAAAGAGCCAGGAGAUUUUCUUGCCUCAGUCACUGAGCUCGCUGCCACACCUGGGGUUCUUUAAAAUAACCUGCAGCUGAGCUGGCUCAGCCCUGCUAGCAGUUGUUGUCAGAGCAGCUGACGGCUCUAUGGACACAGAUUUUCAACAUCAGCACACCCAGGAGAAGGAAACUUGCUGUUUCUUCAUCAAACUGUACCUAAAGGUACCUUAAUUUAUGUGUAUUGUGGUAGUGUUUAGGGGACCAGAACCCCAUUGUUUUAGAUACUUUGCAAACACAGCUCCUGUUUUGAGGCACUUCUAAGGAAAGGUAGAAAAAGAUCAGUCACUAAGUCUUUUUAAUGGAAAAGGCUUCAUGAGUAGAAAUGGUGGAAGGUUGUUGAUGUAUUUCUUCAAGAGCCUCAUUCCUUUGCCAGAACUCAGCCAGAUGAGGGUAUCAUGAGAAAUGACUUCCUUUGUGUCCUGCCUUUCCGCUGUCUACUGGAGAUAAGGUUUUAAACAGCUGUACACGAAUAUGUGCUGGCUAUAAAUGAAUCGGGUGUUCUGGGGUGUGAGUUAUCGGAGUGAGCUUGUGGAUGCUGGGCCUGGAGAUGAACUCCCCAGUAUGUGUUGUAGGGGAAGGGAAAAGGGUUUGGUUUAGAAACUUGGUUCUAUCUGUUGUUAUAAUAAAGCUAGGCAUCAACAACAGAGUUCAGAUCUGGCUUUGCAACUGGCUCUGCAAAGUUGGCAGCUGGUCAGGACUAAGGAUUUGCUUUAAGUCUACCUCAGCAAAGAGGCUUUUGAAGUCCCUGUGGAUGAAGUGCACUACUAUCUAUGUGGCUCCCAGUUUAUUGUGGCUAUAAACUAUAUGAUGCUACCAUCUAUAAGGGUGACAAAGUCCCCAGAUUGGUUAGAGGGCAGAACUUGGGAUGAGGUCUGAUUAAUUCUGUUAAUAUGACAUAAAAUACUCUGCUUAAUUCUGCACCACUGGAAUUUGCAACAAAUGGAAAGCAGGUAUUGGGUGUUUAUCACUCCUACUCCUAACUUGUGUAACCUGUAACAUACUACCAGUGUGUAGUACUUACAAUGUAUUAUGUGUAUUAAAGUAGCGCCUAAAGGAUCUCCCUAAAGUGAGGUAUGUUCUUAUGAGGUCUCAUUUUGUUAUGCAUAUGCUAUAAUAAGACAGUCUCUGCCUAGAGGACCUUACAGUCUAAACAGACAGGACAAAGAGUAGA
Alligator mississippiensis (American alligator) is the source of this 2053-nucleotide long non-coding RNA. RefSeq lists it as uncharacterized. The record is from RefSeq and is a predicted model, not a curated record. Lineage: Eukaryota; Metazoa; Chordata; Crocodylia; Alligatoridae. The transcript has 3 exons.